This 1392-nucleotide ribosomal RNA is filed under the name Rossellomorea aquimaris. RNAcentral describes it as "bacterial SSU rRNA". The stretch from base 1 to 996 matches the Rfam family "Bacterial small subunit ribosomal RNA", at positions 533 to 1533 of the family's 1533-position model. The record is from RNAcentral. Lineage: Bacteria; Bacillati; Bacillota; Bacilli; Caryophanales; Bacillaceae.
GGGUUACGAUGUCGGAUUAUUGGGCGUAAGCGCGCGCAGGCGGUCUCUUAAGUCUGAUGUGAAAGCCCACGGCUCAACCGUGGAGGGUCAUUGGAAACUGGGGGACUUGAGUACAGAAGAGGAAAGUGGAAUUCCACGUGUAGCGGUGAAAUGCGUAGAUAUGUGGAGGAACACCAGUGGCGAAGGCGACUUUCUGGUCUGUAACUGACGCUGAGGCGCGAAAGCGUGGGGAGCAAACAGGAUUAGAUACCCUGGUAGUCCACGCCGUAAACGAUGAGUGCUAAGUGUUAGAGGGUUUCCGCCCUUUAGUGCUGCAGCUAACGCAUUAAGCACUCCGCCUGGGGAGUACGGUCGCAAGACUGAAACUCAAAGGAAUUGACGGGGGCACCGCACAAGCGGUGKAGCAUGUGGUUUAAUUCGAAGCAACGCGAAGAACCUUACCAGGUCUUGACAUCCUCUGACAACCCUAGAGAUAGGGCUUUCCCCUUCGGGGGACAGAGUGACAGGUGGUGCAUGGUUGUCGUCAGCUCGUGUCGUGAGAUGUUGGGUUAAGUCCCGCAACGAGCGCAACCCUUGAUCUUAGUUGCCAGCAUUCAGUUGGGCACUCUAAGAUGACUGCCGGUGACAAACCGGAGGAAGGUGGGGAUGACGUCAAAUCAUCAUGCCCCUUAUGACCUGGGCUACACACGUGCUACAAUGGACGGUACAAAGGGCAGCAAGACCGCGAGGUUUAGCAAAUCCCAUAAAACCGUUCUCAGUUCGGAUUGCAGGCUGCAACUCGCCUGCAUGAAGCUGGAAUCGCUAGUAAUCGCGGAUCAGCAUGCCGCGGUGAAUACGUUCCCGGGCCUUGUACACACCGCCCGUCACACCACGAGAGUUUGUAACACCCGAAGUCGGUGAGGUAACCUUUUGGAGCCAGCCGCCUAAKGUGGGGACAGAUGAUWGGGGUGAAGUCGUAACAAGUUUACCCGUAAAUAACUGGGGAACAAAUGAUUGGGGGUGAAGUUCGUAACAAGGUGAACCGUAGAGCAGCUAAGGGGAGGGUGGGGAGUUCCUCGUGUAGUGCGAAUGCGUAGAUGUGUGGAGAAGCACGAGUGUGAAGCGACUUUUUGCUCUGUAUUGACGCUCAGAGCGAAAAAGUGUGGAGAAAACAGAUUAUCAUCUUCUGGUGGUCCACGCCGUAACGAUGAUCGCUGCUAGUGGAGAGUGUCCUGCUCUCUAUGUGGCAGCAACGCACUAUUACUCUGCCGGGAGUAUGUGCGCAGAGGUAUCACAAAGAUUACGGGGCGCCCGCACACGUGUGACACAUAGUUUUAUGUAGAGACGCCAGAGACGUAUCACGCGUUGUGUCUGUAUACCAGAGAUGUUUCUCUCGCAGCACGUCUAGUGAUG